GACGAACGCUGGCGGCGUGCCUAAUACAUGCAAGUAGAACGCUGAAGGAGGAGCUUGCUCUUCUGGAUGAGUUGCGAACGGGUGAGUAACGCGUAGGUAACCUGCCUGGUAGCGGGGGAUAACUAUUGGAAACGAUAGCUAAUACCGCAUAAGAGUAGAUGUUGCAUGACAUUUGCUUAAAAGGUGCAAUUGCAUCACUACCAGAUGGACCUGCGUUGUAUUAGCUAGUUGGUGGGGUAACGGCUCACCAAGGCGACGAUACAUAGCCGACCUGAGAGGGUGAUCGGCCACACUGGGACUGAGACACGGCCCAGACUCCUACGGGAGGCAGCAGUAGGGAAUCUUCGGCAAUGGACGGAAGUCUGACCGAGCAACGCCGCGUGAGUGAAGAAGGUUUUCGGAUCGUAAAGCUCUGUUGUAAGAGAAGAACGAGUGUGAGAGUGGAAAGUUCACACUGUGACGGUAUCUUACCAGAAAGGGACGGCUAACUACGUG
RNAcentral lists this ribosomal RNA (495 nucleotides) under uncultured bacterium. Its description in RNAcentral is "partial 16S ribosomal RNA". It matches the Rfam family "Bacterial small subunit ribosomal RNA", at positions 28 to 507 of the family's 1533-position model. The record is from RNAcentral.